Molecule: long non-coding RNA, 1892 nt
Filed under: Schizosaccharomyces pombe (fission yeast)
Lineage: Eukaryota; Fungi; Ascomycota; Schizosaccharomycetes; Schizosaccharomycetales; Schizosaccharomycetaceae
Source: RNAcentral
AUUAAAAUAUCUGAUAUCAACAUUUUAGGGAAACAUUUUUAAAAAAAAUAAGUAUAACAGAAGGAGAAUUCUAAACAAUGCUAGGGUAGUGAUUUUUUAAGAGACCGAAGGUCUCAAGGAACAAGCCAAAAUUUGUGUCAAAAUGCAAUGAACAGAACGUAAACAAAAAAUUAGAAUGAAAGUUUUUUUAAAAACUCAAGGAAAUUUCAUCGAUUUUAACAGAAAACCGAACUGAUUUUCUUGAAAAUCCUCUUAGAAGCAGUGGUGGGCUCAUCUUCUUCUUCAUCGAGAUUCUCAUAUGUUUUAAGACCAGUAGUAAUGUCUAGUUUAUCCAAAGAAGGGAUGUGCGAUCUAUCAUAUAUUUUAUAACCGAUAAAAAAAGCGAGUGUAACGGGUGCCGCCAAAUACCCCUGGAAAAAAUCAUUUGCAUUUGGUUUUCCACCGAUUGGAAAUAAGGAGACAUAAAAUUGUGCCAUAAGGCAUAAAAUAUUGAAAAAUAAUCCAAUGCAAGAUCCCCAAAUACCCAUAGGAGAUACAAAUCCCAAUUCUUUUAGGGAAUGUCCUUGUUUCUUAAACGCCAAGCGAAAUAUGAUAUGACAAAGACAUAUACUUCCCCAGGUAAAAAAGUUUGACAGACCAGAUAGAGCAAGCAACCAAUUGAAUACCGUAUCACUAACAUCGUUACCAUUUUUAUCAGCUUCGUUGAUAUAAGCAAAGAAUCCAAAUAACAGAACAACGAUCAUGGCAAGUAAAGGACGACCAAGACGAUCGGUAUAUUUAAAGAAGGAGGGUGCCUGCUUUAAAUUCGCCAUACCAUGGAGGGUACGACCGGCUGUAUAUGUGCUGGAAUUUGUCACAGAAACGACGGAAAUAAUAAUAACAGCGUUAAAAACGGAAGGUAGGCCUUUGAUGUUUGCUUCUUUAAUAGCAAGUACGAAAGGUGACACACUGGUAGAGCCAUUUCCCAUCAAAUUAGGAUCAUCGGGGCUAAUAAGCAAACCGAUCAAUAUCAAGGAGACAACAUAAAAUAUAGCAAUACGCCAAAAAACUUGCUUAACGGCAUGAGGAAGCGCUUUCUGAGGAUUGUCAACUUCAGCCGCCGCUAAACCAAUGACUUCAGUACCAGAAAAGGAGAAAGCCGCAGUAGUAAAGACAGAACAAAAUCCUUUGAACCCAUGUCGAAACGGCUUAUGUUUUAUAAUACUUCCGCCAAUGUAACCCCGGUGAUCAGUUGGAACACCACCGCAAUUGAUGAUGAUGGCCAAAAUGAUGAAUCCAAAGGUAGCGACCACUUUAACAGUACUUAAAAUAAACUCCACUUCUCCAUAUGCGCGAACGCCAAAAAGAUUGACUAUAAUAAUGACAACCAGAAAAAUAGAGAUCCAAGCUGCGCUAUUAAUAUCCGUCCAGUACCGAAAUGUGAUAGCGCAAGUUGUUAAUUCAAGUGGAAAAGUAACGAAAUAGUUGAUGAAGUAGUUCCAACUUACCGCAAAUCCCCAAGCUGGAUCAAUGAAACGGGUAGCAUAGGUAUUGAAUCCACCAGCGACCGGAUAAGCAACAGCCAUUUCACCAAGCGCAUAAACAAUAAAGAACAUCAUAAUUCCAAUUAAGCUGUAAUUAAUGAUCACUGAAGCGGGUCCGCCAUCUGCAAGCGAACUACCUGAACCGACAUAUAGACCUGUACCAAUUGCACCUCCAAUAGAUAUCAUUUGCAUAUGCCGGCUUUUCAGACUACGCUUAAGCGCCGUGCCAUCUUCUCCCGUUGCCUUUGCAGGCUUAAAGUCAUCAAAAAAGCGUACUACGAAGUUUUUACCCUUAGGCUCCACAUCGUCAACUAAUCCCGGGGUAAUGUAACUCUUUUCCUCCAAAGAAGGUUUGACAUCCUUCAAAGA